GCCCUCAUGCUCCUCAGUACCACACUUUAUCUAUGUGACAGUCUCCUAUGUCGCUCCCUCACCUAUAUGGCCUCUUGCAUGAUACGAGACUCCCUGAUGGAUAAUAUUGUCCGUGGCAUACUCAAAAUGUGUUGUAGUCUCCUCAAUGGACUGAAAUUGGAUCAUAUCAUCAUUCAUAUAUACGGCUAAGGAAAUACAUAGACUAAAUGUCGGAAGUCUAGAAUUGAGAAUGUAGAGGCAAUAUAUCGUCGGCUAUCUCAUCUGCAUAGAUCAAGAGGUGCUCCCUGUUGGAUUUUGGUGCCUCGAAUUCAACCCACAGCAGUCCAAGAAGGAAAAGCCCAC
This 342-nucleotide long non-coding RNA is filed under the name Elaeis guineensis (African oil palm). RNAcentral describes it as "long non-coding RNA (EGUI_LNC074656)". Lineage: Eukaryota; Viridiplantae; Streptophyta; Magnoliopsida; Arecales; Arecaceae. The record is from RNAcentral.